RNAcentral lists this ribosomal RNA (515 nucleotides) under Macquaria australasica (Macquarie perch). Its description in RNAcentral is "partial 16S ribosomal RNA". It matches the Rfam family "Bacterial large subunit ribosomal RNA", at positions 1919 to 2577 of the family's 2925-position model. Lineage: Eukaryota; Metazoa; Chordata; Actinopteri; Centrarchiformes; Percichthyidae. The record is from RNAcentral.
UAUGUUUAACGGCCGCGGUAUUUUAACCGUGCAAAGGUAGCGCAAUCACUUGUCUCUUAAAUGGAGACCUGUAUGAAUGGCACAACGAGGGCUUAACUGUCUCCUUUUUCAAGUCAAUGAAAUUGAUCUUCCCGUGCAGAAGCGGGAAUAUAACCAUAAGACGAGAAGACCCUAUGGAGCUUUAGACACUAAAGCAGCUCAUGUUAAAUAUCCCUAAGAAAGGACCAAACCAAAGGAAACCUGCCCUAUUGUCUUCGGUUGGGGCGACCGCGGGGAAACAAAAAUCCCCCACGUGGAACGGGAGGACCCCAUCUUCCCCCUCCUAAAACUAAGAGCCCCCGCUCUAGUUAACAGAACUUCUGACCAAUAAUGAUCCGGCAACGCCGAUCAACGGACCAAGUUACCCUAGGGAUAACAGCGCAAUCCCCUUUUAGAGCCCAUAUCGACAAGGGGGUUUACGACCUCGAUGUUGGAUCAGGACAUCCUAAUGGUGCAGCCGCUAUUAAGGGUUCGUU